This 253-nucleotide ribosomal RNA is filed under the name uncultured bacterium. Its description in RNAcentral is "partial 16S ribosomal RNA". It matches the Rfam family "Bacterial small subunit ribosomal RNA", at positions 524 to 776 of the family's 1533-position model. The record is from RNAcentral.
GACGAACCGUGCAACCGUUAUUCGGAAUCACUGGGCAUAAAGGGCGCGUAGGCGGCUUUCUAAGUCAGGGGUGAAAUCCGGCAGCUCAACUGUCGCAGUGCCUUUGAUACUGGAGAGCUCGAGGGAGGUAGGGGUCUGUGGAACUUCCGGUGGAGCGGUGAAAUGCGUUGAUAUCGGAAGGAACGCCGGUGACGAAAGCGACGGACUGGAUCUCUUCUGACGCUGAGGCGCGAAAGCCAGGGGAGCAAACGGG